GGCUUCGGCCUGGUGAAAGUGGCAGACGGGUGAGUAACGCGUGGGAACCUGCCCUGUGGUAGGGAAUAACCGUGGGAAACUGCGGCUAAUACCCUAUGAGUCCUUCGGGAGAAAGAUUUAUCGCCAUAGGAGGGGCCCGCGUCGGAUUAGGUAGUUGGUGGGGUAACGGCCUACCAAGCCUUCGAUCCGUAGCUGGUCUGAGAGGAUGAUCAGCCACACUGGGACUGAGAUACGGCCCAGACUCCUACGGGAGGCAGCAGUGGGGAAUAUUGGACAAUGGGGGCAACCCUGAUCCAGCAAUGCCGCGUGGAUGAUGAAGGCCUUCGGGUUGUAAAGUCCUUUCGGCGGGGAAGAUGAUGACGGUACCCGCAGAAGAAGCCCCGGCUAACUUCGUGCCAGCAGCCGCGGUAAUACGAAGGGGGCUAGCGUUGUUCGGAAUUACUGGGCGUAAAGGGCGCGUAGGCUGUGCUGUAAGUCAGGCGUGAAAGCCCCGGGCUCAACCUGGGAAUUGCGCUUGAUACUGCGGCGCUGGAAGGUGGGAGAGGAUGGCGGAAUUCCCAGUGUAGAGGUGAAAUUCGUAGAUAUUGGGAAGAACACCGGUGGCGAAGGCGGCCAUCUGGCCCACAUUGACGCUGAGC
RNAcentral lists this ribosomal RNA (638 nucleotides) under Deserticella xinjiangensis. RNAcentral describes it as "bacterial SSU rRNA". It matches the Rfam family "Bacterial small subunit ribosomal RNA", at positions 76 to 752 of the family's 1533-position model. Lineage: Bacteria; Pseudomonadati; Pseudomonadota; Alphaproteobacteria; Rhodospirillales; Azospirillaceae. The record is from RNAcentral.